CGGGCAGGACAGACAGUCGCCGCGCGGGCUUCACAGCCUGCGGGGAGGAAAGUCCGGGCUGCACAGGGCGGGAUGCCGGCUAACGGCCGGGCGCGGCAACGCGACGGAAAGUGGAACAGAAAGCCAAACCGCCGAUGGCCUGCACCGGCAGGCACAGGCAAGGGUGAAAAGGUGCGGUAAGAGCGCACCGUGCGCUUGGCAACAAGACGCAGCAGGCCAAACCCCAUCCGCAGCAAGACCAAACAGAACGCAUUGACGCGGCCCGCCGAGCGUUCGGGUAGGUUGCUUGAGUGUGCCGGCAACGGCACGCCUAGAUGAAUGACUGUCCGCGACAGAACCCGGCUUACCGUCCUGCCCGUGUG
RNAcentral lists this RNase P RNA (362 nucleotides) under Neisseria leonii. RNAcentral's name for it is "RNase P RNA component class A". It matches the Rfam family "Bacterial RNase P class A". Rfam says of the family: Ribonuclease P (RNase P) is a ubiquitous endoribonuclease, found in archaea, bacteria and eukarya as well as chloroplasts and mitochondria. Its best characterised activity is the generation of mature 5'-ends of tRNAs by cleaving the 5'-leader elements of precursor-tRNAs. Cellular RNase Ps are ribonucleoproteins. Lineage: Bacteria; Pseudomonadati; Pseudomonadota; Betaproteobacteria; Neisseriales; Neisseriaceae. The record is from RNAcentral.